GAUUAACGCUAGCGGCAGGCCUAAUACAUGCAAGUCGAACGGGAUUUCGGGUAGCAAUAUCUGAAUGAGAGUGGCGCACGGGUGCGUAACACGUAUGCAAUCUGCCUCCGACUGGGGAAUAGCCUUCCGAAAGGAAGAUUAACACCGCAUAAAAUAAUGAAGUGGCAUCACUUUAUUAUCAAAACUCCGGUGGUCAGAGAUGAGCAUGCGUCCGAUUAGCUAGUUGGUGAGGUAACGGCUCACCAAGGCGACGAUCGGUAGGGGGUCUGAGAGGAUGAUCCCCCACACUGGUACUGAGACACGGACCAGGCUCCUACGGGAGGCAGCAGUAAGGAAUAUUGGACAAUGGUCGCAAGACUGAUCCAGCCAUGCCGCGUGAAGGAUGAAUGCCCUAUGGGUUGUAAACUUCUUUUAAACGGGAAAAAACCCCUCUACGUGUAGAGGGCUGAUGGUACCGUAAGAAUAAGGAUCGGCUAACUUCGUGCCAGCAGCCGCCGUAA
This 500-nucleotide ribosomal RNA is filed under the name uncultured bacterium. RNAcentral describes it as "partial 16S ribosomal RNA". It matches the Rfam family "Bacterial small subunit ribosomal RNA", at positions 28 to 523 of the family's 1533-position model. The record is from RNAcentral.